Molecule: non-coding RNA, 101 nt
Filed under: Clunio marinus
Lineage: Eukaryota; Metazoa; Arthropoda; Insecta; Diptera; Chironomidae
Description: Eukaryotic large subunit ribosomal RNA
Rfam family: Eukaryotic large subunit ribosomal RNA
Source: Rfam by way of RNAcentral
UAUAUUUUGAAAUUUUAGUGAGUAGGAAGGUAUUAUGGUAUGCGUUGAAGGAUCUAGCGUGAGCUGAUAUGGAGCUUCCAUAAGCACAGAUCUUGGUGGUA